CUCUGCUGCCACUUCCUUAUAGCUGUGUCAAGCCACUACCACAACAACCUGAGACAACAUCCCAGAAUGUGGAGUCUCCAGCAGCGCCAGAGACCUCCUGGUUUCAGACUUGGAAUUGCUGACUAACAGAUGAUUACAGCGGGCAAUGGACAUGAAGUUCUCUGACCACCCAGUCACUGCAAUGGAGUGAGAGGAGAGAUGUUACAUGACCUCUAGAAAGACCAGGACAUCUUUUUCCUUGACUGGCCUAUCUUAUCAUUUCUGAAAUGUCAUUUAAUUAACUUUUGAGUGACGCUGUUUGUUUUGUUGUUGUUGUUG
Molecule: long non-coding RNA, 318 nt
Organism: Chinchilla lanigera (long-tailed chinchilla)
Lineage: Eukaryota; Metazoa; Chordata; Mammalia; Rodentia; Chinchillidae
Source: Ensembl